CUGCAUUUAUUUGCAAUUAUAAUAUUACAGUAAGAGGCAAAGUAAAGGAAAACAGCUGAUCAGAGACAAACACGGUGACAAUUAACCAUGUCCUCUUUCAGAAAACCAAUCAAGAUAGACUUUAAUGAUAUGAUAAAGAAUGGAUUAGUCAUAAAGGAACCAUAGGGAUUGUUAUGCAAAUUUCUUGACGUUUACAUUUUAAUUCUU
Long non-coding RNA from Populus euphratica (Euphrates poplar), 207 nucleotides. RefSeq lists it as uncharacterized. NCBI's taxonomy places the organism in Eukaryota, Viridiplantae, Streptophyta, Magnoliopsida, Malpighiales, Salicaceae. The record is from RefSeq and is a predicted model, not a curated record. The transcript has 2 exons.